RNAcentral lists this ribosomal RNA (460 nucleotides) under uncultured bacterium. Its description in RNAcentral is "partial 16S ribosomal RNA". It matches the Rfam family "Bacterial small subunit ribosomal RNA", at positions 338 to 795 of the family's 1533-position model. The record is from RNAcentral.
CCUACGGGGGACAGCAGUGAGGAAUAUUGGUCAAUGGACGCAAGUCUGAACCAGCCAUGCCGCGUGCAGGAAGACGGCUCUAUGAGUUGUAAACUGCUUUUGUACGAGGGUAAACGCAGAUACGCGUAUCUGUCUGAAAGUAUCGUACGAAUAAGGAUCGGCUAACUCCGUGCCAGCCGCCGCGGUAAUACGGAGGAUUCAAGCGUUAUCCGGAUUUAUUGGUUUUAAAGGGUGCGUAGGCGGUCGGAUAAGUUAGAGGUGAAAUCCCGAGGCUCAACUUCGGAAUUGCCUCUGAUACUGUUCGGCUAGAGAGUAGUUGCGGUAGGCGGAAUGUAUGGUGUAGCGGUGAAAUGCUUAGAGAUCAUACAGAACACCGAUUGCGAAGGCAGCUUACCAAGCUACUUCUGACGUUGAGGCACGAAAGCGUGGGGAGCAAACAGGAUUAGAUACCCGAGUAGUC